This is a long non-coding RNA of Hibiscus syriacus, 401 nucleotides long. RefSeq lists it as uncharacterized. The transcript has 3 exons. Lineage: Eukaryota; Viridiplantae; Streptophyta; Magnoliopsida; Malvales; Malvaceae. The record is from RefSeq and is a predicted model, not a curated record.
GUGAGAGUCGUAAAUGGCUCUCCACCGACAGGGGAUUAUUCCUUCGCUAAGUAUAACAAGUCUGUUGAUGUUAUCAGAAACAGACAUGAGGAGUAUGAAAAACAUUUAACUGACCCUGCAUGUAUCAACAUGAGGAGAUUGAACGCAAGCGUGCUUUCUCAAUGGUCCUCUCUCAAACAAAACACCAAGAGCGGAAAGAUGCUGAGGCUUGCUGGAUCAUCUCGAGUUCUUCACCGGUCUAUUGUUUUAUUCUGCUGGUUCUUGCUGAAGCAAAAAAGAAUAGGUGAGUCACGUAUGGCUGCAUGGGCAUGUAUCAUCUGAACAAGCUGCUAUUGUGGCAGUUGCAAUUGUCAUUGCUGGAUUCUAAAUAUUAUGUCUCUUAAUGUCACUUCAAUUUUUAA